GAGGUACUGAGAAGGGUUGGAGUUUCCAACUGUCAGAGUCUCUGGAAGCUGAGCUUGGCUCUGGAGGCUGGUGGUUGUUGGCUCUCUGGGAUUUCCCUUUCAAACCUUGGGAAUACCAGACUGGCACUUUGGAAGAGAGAAAGGAACUGAACUUGAAGACUUCUUGAGUCCCUUUCAACUCCAAUUCUAUUAUCUCAUAACCUCUCUUACAUAAGUGGGUGGAUAGUACCUCUAUUGUAUACAAAAAGGAGAAGAGGCACAAGAUGAACAAGCAAGAAUUCAGCAGAAGUCUCCCAAUAUUCUCC
This 305-nucleotide long non-coding RNA is filed under the name Monodelphis domestica (gray short-tailed opossum). Its description in RNAcentral is "lncRNA (ENSMODG00000039142.1)". The record is from RNAcentral. Lineage: Eukaryota; Metazoa; Chordata; Mammalia; Didelphimorphia; Didelphidae.